AUGAUAACAAACUUAUUUUCCUCUUUUGACCCUAUAUCUUCAACUUUUAAUUUACAACUAAAUUGAUUGUCUAUAUUCUUAUUUAUUAUUGUAUUUUAUCCUUUAUACUGAAUUUCGAAUUCUAAAUCAUCAGUUCUUUAUAGUGAGCUCACAUCUUAUAUCACAAAGGAAUUUAUGCCUUUAUUUAAAAGUUACAAAAAUAUUAUUAUAUUUAAUGUUUUAUUUAUAUUUAUUCUAAUUAAUAAUGUUUUUGGGUUAAUACCUUACACUUUUACUAGAACUGCCCAUAUUGCAAUAACUUUAUCAAUGGCUUUGACUAUCUGGGUAAUUUUUAUAUUAUACGGAUGAGUUAACAACACAAAUCAUAUAUUUGCUCACUUAGUUCCUUUAGGAACUCCUAUUGUUUUAAUACCAUUUAUGGUAUUAAUUGAAUCUAUUAGAAAUAUUAUUCGUCCUAUUACCUUAUCGGUACGUUUAGCUGCUAAUCUAACUGCUGGUCACUUGCUUUUAAUUUUGCUUGGAGAGAGUAUGGUUAAUAAUAGAAUUCUAAUUAUUAUUACCGUGACUGCGGCUCAAUUCGCUUUAAUAACUCUUGAAGCAGCUGUAGCUGUAAUUCAAGCUUAUGUUUUUGCUACUUUAUCCACUUUAUACGCUAGAGAAGUAUAA
This 666-nucleotide unclassified non-coding RNA is filed under the name Amphibalanus amphitrite. RNAcentral's name for it is "aTP synthase subunit a". The record is from RNAcentral. Lineage: Eukaryota; Metazoa; Arthropoda; Thecostraca; Balanomorpha; Balanidae.